This 253-nucleotide ribosomal RNA is filed under the name uncultured bacterium. RNAcentral describes it as "partial 16S ribosomal RNA". It matches the Rfam family "Bacterial small subunit ribosomal RNA", at positions 524 to 776 of the family's 1533-position model. The record is from RNAcentral.
UACGUAGGGUGCGAGCGUUGCCCGGAUUUAUUGGGCGUAAAGGGCGCGUAGGCGGCCACGCACGUCCGUUGUGAAAUCGCCCGGCUCAACUGGGCGGGGUCGGCGGAUACGGCGUGGCUGGAGCAAGCUAGGGGGCAAUGGAAUUCCCGGUGUAGUGGUGGAAUGCGUAGAUAUCAGGAAGAACACCAAUUGCGAAGGCAGCUCGCUGGGACGUCACUGACGCUGAGACGCGAAAGCGUGGGGAGCAAACAGG